UCCCUCUCAGGGUCACACCUGGAGAGUUUCCAGUACUCUACCAGUCUUGACUAUGGGAGGGAGAGUCAAGCAGAGACCUGUCCAUUCCUAGCUUGGGCGGUGGCUAGCGAGCGGAAGGCAGUCUGCUCCAAGU
Molecule: small nucleolar RNA, 133 nt
Organism: Ornithorhynchus anatinus (platypus)
Lineage: Eukaryota; Metazoa; Chordata; Mammalia; Monotremata; Ornithorhynchidae
Source: RefSeq, a predicted model, not a curated record